Molecule: transfer RNA, 73 nt
Filed under: Salmo salar (Atlantic salmon)
Lineage: Eukaryota; Metazoa; Chordata; Actinopteri; Salmoniformes; Salmonidae
Rfam family: tRNA
About the family: Transfer RNA (tRNA) molecules are approximately 80 nucleotides in length.
Source: Rfam by way of RNAcentral
GGCUCAUUGGUCUAGGGGUAUGAUUCUCGCUUCGGGUUGUGAGAGGUCCCGGGUUCAAAUCCCGGACGAGCCC